RNAcentral lists this ribosomal RNA (253 nucleotides) under uncultured bacterium. Its description in RNAcentral is "partial 16S ribosomal RNA". It matches the Rfam family "Bacterial small subunit ribosomal RNA", at positions 524 to 776 of the family's 1533-position model. The record is from RNAcentral.
UACGUAGGUGGCAAGCGUUGUCCGGAUUUAUUGGGGUUAAAGGGUGCGUAGGUGGUCUAUUAAGUCAGUGCUGAAAUAUCCCGGCUUAACCGGGAGGGUGGCAUUGAUACUGAUGGACUUGAGUAAAGUUGAGGUGGGCGGAAUUGACGGUGUAGCGGUGAAAUGCUUAGAUAUCGUCAAGAACACCUAUUGCGAAGGCAGCUCACUAAGCUUUAACUGACACUGAGGCGCGAAAGUGUGGGGAUCAAACAGG